UACGAAGGGGGCUAGCGUUGCUCGGAAUCACUGGGCGUAAAGCGCACGUAGGCGGCUUUUUAAGUCAGGGGUGAAACCCUGGAGCUCAACUCCAGAACUGCCUUUGAUACUGAGAAGCUUGAGUCCGGGAGAGGUGAGUGGAACUGCGAGUGUAGAGGUGAAAUUCGUAGAUAUUCGCAAGAACACCAGUGGCGAAGGCGGCUCACUGGCCCGGUACUGACGCUGAGGUGCGAAAGCGUGGGGAGCAAACAGG
This 253-nucleotide ribosomal RNA is filed under the name uncultured bacterium. RNAcentral's name for it is "partial 16S ribosomal RNA". It matches the Rfam family "Bacterial small subunit ribosomal RNA", at positions 524 to 776 of the family's 1533-position model. The record is from RNAcentral.